AGAGUUUGAUCAUGGCUCAGGACGAACGCUGGCGGCGUGCUUAACACAUGCAAGUCGAACGGAAAGGCCCUUCGGGGUGCUCGAGUGGCGAACGGGUGAGUAACACGUGGGUGAUCUGCCCUGCACUUUGGGAUAAGCCUGGGAAACUGGGUCUAAUACCGAAUAGGACUGCGCUCUUCAUGGGGUGUGGUGGAAAGCUUUUGCGGUGUGGGAUGGGCCCGCGGCCUAUCAGCUUGUUGGUGGGGUAAUGGCCUACCAAGGCGACGACGGGUAGCCGGCCUGAGAGGGUGACCGGCCACACUGGGACUGAGAUACGGCCCAGACUCCUACGGGAGGCAGCAGUGGGGAAUAUUGCACAAUGGGCGCAAGCCUGAUGCAGCGACGCCGCGUGAGGGAUGACGGCCUUCGGGUUGUAAACCUCUUUCAGCACAGACGAAGCGCGAGUGACGGUAUGUGCAGAAGAAGGACCGGCCAACUACGUGCCAGCAGCCGCGGUAAUACGUAGGGUCCGAGCGUUGUCCGGAAUUACUGGGCGUAAAGAGCUCGUAGGUGGUUUGUCGCGUUGUUCGUGAAAACUCACAGCUUAACUGUGGGCGUGCGGGCGAUACGGGCAGACUGGAGUACUGCAGGGGAGACUGGAAUUCCUGGUGUAGCGGUGGAAUGCGCAGAUAUCAGGAGGAACACCGGUGGCGAAGGCGGGUCUCUGGGCAGUAACUGACGCUGGGGAGCGAAAGCGUGGGGAGCGAACAGGAUUAGAUACCCUGGUAGUCCAA
This 773-nucleotide ribosomal RNA is filed under the name uncultured bacterium. RNAcentral's name for it is "bacterial SSU rRNA". It matches the Rfam family "Bacterial small subunit ribosomal RNA", at positions 8 to 798 of the family's 1533-position model. The record is from RNAcentral.